Molecule: ribosomal RNA, 170 nt
Filed under: uncultured Alphaproteobacteria bacterium
Lineage: Bacteria; Pseudomonadati; Pseudomonadota; Alphaproteobacteria
Description: partial 16S ribosomal RNA
Rfam family: Bacterial small subunit ribosomal RNA
Source: RNAcentral
UCCUACGGGAGGCAGCAGUGGGGAAUCUUAGACAAUGGGGGCAACCCUGAUCUAGCCAUGCCGCGUGAGUGACGAAGGCCUUAGGGUCGUAAAGCUCUUUCGCUGGGGAUGAUAAUGACAGUACCCAGUAAAGAAACCCCGGCUAACUCCGUGCCAGCAGCCGCGGUAAU